CCGAAUCUCUAUCGUCUAUGUAUUUGAAUGUGUAUCUAUGUAUUUAAUCAUCGCACACACAGUAAACACUUGGUUUGAAUUGCAUUCGAAUUCGGUAUUUUUAUCUGUGAUUUCGCGACGAUUUAUAUUAAAUUGGGGCGACCGGUGAUCGAUGUUCGUAUAACCCGGAGUGAAUCGUCGCCGGAUUAAGCUUGUUCCUUUGUUGAGAUCUCUGGCGUUGCCGAAGAUUUCCGAAGGUAAGCAUUCUCAUAUCCUAUCGCCUUGGGUAGCGGGUUGCUGCGAUUAGCUCUUGGGAUUGGCCAUGAGAGAAACAUUCAUUCAUUCUCGGUUUCUCUUAUUUUUUUUUGUUUUGUCAAAAUGAUUUUGGAUUUGGAGUUGCCUGUGAUGAAAUCUCUUAUCAAAUAACACCAUCUUUCGGGACUGAGUUUCCCGUGCUGAUAUUCUGCAAUUCUGAGGCUUUUUCAACUAAUUUCUUUUUAAAACGGAUGAUUUCUGGUGCUUAUUGACGGUCCAGUGCUGUUUAAUUCGAUUUACAGUACUUAACAUUAUCAUAAGCUAUAGAAAUUCUGAGCCGCCUUUCGUCUUUCGAGUCGUUUCUCUCCUUAUGAGAUUUGGCUAUCCGCGUUGUGGCUCUCAUUUUUUUAUUUACACCUUUUUCAAACUAAAUUUGUUUUGCCUUUUUUCAGAUUUUAAACAAUUCAUAGUUUACUAUAGAUUUAUAGCUUAAUAUUGAAUCUAUGGUCCAGGAAUUUAGGAUUUGCUAAGAAUUUCUUAAUAAAUCUAGUUUUCUAUAAAUCAACUAUUUUAGCAAAAUCAUCUUUGAAUUUGAAGGUAACUCACGGAUCAAUGCCACGUCGCCAGUAGCAACGGCUGUGAUCGGCGAUGUCAUGAUUGAACCAAAAUCAAAGUUUUUUGCAUGUUGAUAGGAACCUGUGAAUCGAUCUUCACCGUUCGUUUACGGAACCGUUUUCUGCGAUUACAUUUUGUGAUUUUUAUUUUAUUUUAUGAAUAGAAAAUAAUAGAUUCAAUUAGAUUUUGUGAUUUUUAUUUUAUUUUAUGAAUAGAAAAAUAAAUAUAUCCAAUUAGACCUAUGAUGAUUAAAAAUAUCAAUAUAUCUGGAAUUACCGUCUGAAUUCUAUUGAUGUGAUCAGCAAUCUGAGGUCAACCUUUUUCGAAUUAUUUGAACUUUAAUAAACUUGAAAGGUAAGAUUUGAAAAAUGAAAGUAAAAAAAAAGUUGAAAAGAUGGAC
Molecule: long non-coding RNA, 1249 nt
Filed under: Salvia miltiorrhiza (redroot sage)
Lineage: Eukaryota; Viridiplantae; Streptophyta; Magnoliopsida; Lamiales; Lamiaceae
Description: long non-coding RNA (SMIL_LNC007669)
Rfam family: Small nucleolar RNA snoR2/U65 (bases 841-984)
Source: RNAcentral